UAAAAAAUGAACACUGCUUCUGCUUGACUUGGCAUAUAUAUGUGUGUGUGUGUGUAUGUAUGUGUACUCUGUACUCUGCAGUCUGUACCGUAGCCUGCUUGACCAAAGAUGCAUCAGUGUAUACACAACUUCCAUGAGUAGAAACUAGAUUUCCAGCUAGACCAAGACCUGGGAAGAAGUGGGUUCACCAAGAAUCUAGUAAAUCUAGACUGUCCAACAUUCCUUUGAACCAACAGCAACUAUUGGCACAGUUGCUAAUGAGUACCCGUCCAAACCUUUUACCCUUUUCAUAUUCGACGUGAUUAGUCCGCCACAUCUGCGCUUUCCAGUCAUU
RNAcentral lists this long non-coding RNA (334 nucleotides) under Physcomitrium patens. RNAcentral describes it as "long non-coding RNA (PPAT_LNC007766)". The record is from RNAcentral. Lineage: Eukaryota; Viridiplantae; Streptophyta; Bryopsida; Funariales; Funariaceae.